CGGUAAUACGUAGGGUGCGAGCGUUAAUCGGAAUUACUGGGCGUAAAGCGUGCGCAGGCGGAUUGUUAAGCAAGAUGUGAAAUCCCCGGGCUUAACCUGGGAAUGGCAUUUUGAACUGGCAGUCUAGAGUGUGUCAGAGGGGGGUGGAAUUCCACGUGUAGCAGUGAAAUGCGUAGAUAUGUGGAGGAACACCAAUGGCGAAGGCAGCCCCCUGGGAUGACACUGACGCUCAUGUACGAAAGCGUGGGUAGCAAACAGGAUUAGAUACCCUGGUAGUCCACGCCCUAAACGAUGUCAACUGGUUGUUGGGGGAGUGAAAUCUCUUAGUAACGAAGCUAACGCGUGAAGUUGACCGCCUGGGGAGUACGGUCGCAAGAUUAAA
RNAcentral lists this ribosomal RNA (382 nucleotides) under uncultured bacterium. Its description in RNAcentral is "bacterial SSU rRNA". It matches the Rfam family "Bacterial small subunit ribosomal RNA", at positions 518 to 898 of the family's 1533-position model. The record is from RNAcentral.